CCUACGGAGGGCUGCAGUGGGGAAUAUUGGACAAUGGGGGGAACCCUGAUCCAGCCAUGCCGCGUGUGUGAAGAAGGCCCUCGGGUUGUAAAGCACUUUCAGUGAGGAAGAACGCCUGGUGGUUAAUACCCAUCAGGAAAGACAUCACUCACAGAAGAAGCACCGGCUAACUCCGUGCCAGCAGCCGCGGUAAUACGGAGGGUGCGAGCGUUAAUCGGAAUUACUGGGCGUAAAGCGCGCGUAGGUGGCUUGAUAAGCCGGUUGUGAAAGCCCCGGGCUCAACCUGGGAACGGCAUCCGGAACUGUCAAGCUAGAGUGCAGGAGAGGAAGGUAGAAUUCCCGGUGUAGCGGUGAAAUGCGUAGAGAUCGGGAGGAAUACCAGUGGCGAAGGCGGCCUUCUGGACUGACACUGACACUGAGGUGCGAAAGCGUGGGUAGCAAACAGGAUUAGAUACCCUAGUAGUC
Molecule: ribosomal RNA, 465 nt
Filed under: Vreelandella stevensii
Lineage: Bacteria; Pseudomonadati; Pseudomonadota; Gammaproteobacteria; Oceanospirillales; Halomonadaceae
Description: partial 16S ribosomal RNA
Rfam family: Bacterial small subunit ribosomal RNA
Source: RNAcentral